AGCAGUAGCCACGGUAAUACAGAGGGUGCGAGCGUUAAUCGGAUUUACUGGGCGUAAAGCGUGCGUAGGCGGCUUUUUAAGUCGGAUGUGAAAUCCCUGAGCUUAACUUAGGAAUUGCAUUCGAUACUGGGAAGCUAGAGUAUGGGAGAGGAUGGUAGAAUUCCAGGUGUAGCGGUGAAAUGCGUAGAGAUCUGGAGGAAUACCGAUGGCGAAGGCAGCCAUCUGGCCUAAUACUGACGCUGAGGUACGAAAGCAUGGGGAGCAAACAGGAUUAGAUACCCGCGUAGUCCCUGUCUCUUAUAA
RNAcentral lists this ribosomal RNA (303 nucleotides) under uncultured bacterium. RNAcentral describes it as "partial 16S ribosomal RNA". It matches the Rfam family "Bacterial small subunit ribosomal RNA", at positions 507 to 809 of the family's 1533-position model. The record is from RNAcentral.